Molecule: long non-coding RNA, 719 nt
Organism: Tyto alba (common barn owl)
Lineage: Eukaryota; Metazoa; Chordata; Aves; Strigiformes; Tytonidae
Exons: 3
Source: RefSeq, a predicted model, not a curated record
CACCCUGACUGCCUGUUCGAACUUGGCUAUUGAUCUACACAGCAGCAGGACCUGGGGUUCCUUGCAAGGGCUGGGGUUGGAAGUGCAGUGUUUGCUUACUGCAUUACCCCUGGGUUUACCUCUGGCUUGUGCUUCCUGGAGGCAAGGCGAUGGGUCUGCUGCUGGUUCCUAAAACAGUGCCGGUCGGUGAUGGCCUUCUGGUAGUGAAACCGUUUUACUAACAGCAGCAUCAGCACAUCGCUUGGUUCAUACGCAGUGUCUCGGCGCAGCCGGGUGAGAGUGUUGUCUGCACAGUAAUCACCAAGAACAAAGACUCAUCUGCACGGUCAGUGAGCAGGGGGGUGUGAGUGUGCGUGCGUGUGCGCACACGUGUGUGCCUGAGAUGCUGCCUGGGUUUGCAGGGGCGUGGGAGGGAGGGAGGGAGCUGAGCCGGGGCGAGCCCCAGACCGCCCGCAGCUACCACCUUGCGCGGCUCAGGGCCUGGGGGCUCUGACCCCGGGGUCCCGCAGAGCCCGUCCCACGCACGGCACCCCGGGCGAUGCUCCUCGGCCACGCUCACCCACGGCAUCGGGGACCGGCAGCGCGAGGACAGAAGGCAGCAACCUGCCUUUUUAAAGUUCUUGAGCAACUUUGACUCAGACCCUCUGCAAGGAUACUGGUUUCCCAUGUGAAAGACAAUGGAAACUCCAUGAUUGUAGUAAAUAUUUACCUUAAAUGAA